This 76-nucleotide microRNA precursor is filed under the name Myotis lucifugus (little brown bat). RNAcentral's name for it is "mir-9229 microRNA precursor family". It matches the Rfam family "mir-9229 microRNA precursor family". Lineage: Eukaryota; Metazoa; Chordata; Mammalia; Chiroptera; Vespertilionidae. The record is from Rfam by way of RNAcentral.
GAAACAGCCUUAUGGGGCAGGACUGGCUUCAGUGGGGCUUUGGUGCUCACUGAGUCUGCCCCCUGAGUGUGGCACU